CAGACGACAGUGCCGUGCCAAUGGUGUCGUCUGCAACGUGUGAAGUAUCUCAUUCCAUAGCAGACGACAGUGCCGUGCCAAUGGUGUCGUCUGCUACGUGUGUAGUAUUUGAUUUCCACAUAUUCCAGCUACGUACGCAUACUCAACAUGAAACGCGGCGAAGCUUCUGCACGUGUUCCCAUGAAGACACUACGAGGUCACCAUACGUGACCUCGAACAGUACCUGGACUGGACCCCGUGAACAUCCAUUGAUGACAUCACCGCCAUGGGCCAUGACAAUCACCGUAUGCGACGUAUCCGAUGCGCAGACAAAGACGAGAAGGUCGGAGAGGAGAAAAGGAAAAAGAAGACAAAAGAUCCCUUCCGCAAGUCGAAAGCAUGAACAUGGGAAAAGUUAACGACUAGCAGGUUUACGACCCCGAGGAAGUAACUCACACACGGAUUAGUGGCAGCGGUUCAAGGACUACACGGAGGGUGUUGCUUUUAACUACUGCGAACAAAUUUGACAGGAAACUGUCAAAACCCGUCGGAACUAAUCGCCCGUGUAAGCUGAUCAUUCCGUUUGCACACAAGAGUCUCGUCGAGGUGCGAUUUAUCCAACAACGAACGAUUUGCACACUUCGCCCAAACAAAAACAAAGUUUGUGUCCGUCAUAGACGCUAUCAGAGUGUCGAUCAGUGUGAUACUGCGCUACAUCGGGUGCGCUGAGACAACUGAAGACAUACGAUCCUGCUGGUGACGUCGAUACGAAGCGAGCUGAUAAAUCACGUAGAAAAUGCUCAACUUACUUUCUUUGUAAACAGUCCCACUCCAGUGUUGUAAAAUAACGCGCCAUCGUUAAAAAAAAGAUGGCAGACACUGAUAGCGCCCCCUCAGCUCAUUCAUCACUAGAUGUCACGCUGUCAUUUCAGUUUUGGUUUGUCUGGUCGUUAUAUCGUUAUGGUUACAAAUGAAAGGCAAACAGUUGAUAUUUUCAAGACUUCCAAGCGUUUUAAAGAGAACGUGUUGACGUGAGACGAAAUUAUUUGGAUAAAAUUGUCACUUUCGCUUUUGUUACUGGACGCCAGGUAACAUUGUGCCUUGUGCGUCGUUGCCAAAAUUUGAUUUCGUUUGCAGACGGCAGGCGGUCAAACGUCAUUCUGGAUGACUUUCGAUAGAAAGUUUGCAAGGGAUCGCCCCCUGUUACGUGCUUUGAUAAGCGUAAAUAGCGAAUACUGAUAAUAGCGUGUAAGAAAUAAACUAUCAGGUGCACUUCUUGCAGAGGUGCUACGUGUACCAUAUUCAUAUUUGCUCCUGUCAACUGUGUUGCGAAGAAGUUGAAUUCCGAAUGCACUGCGAAGAACAGGUAUUCCACGACUCUCUCUAAAAAAGUGGGCAGCGAGACAUACUUGAUGAUACCAUCUUCAACGUAGACGUCACCGUCCACAAUGGCGUCGUCGUUGACGAUCUUGCCUCCCUUGAUCAGUAUUCGAGUCUGGGCACUCUGCGGAAGAAGAAGAUAUGAGGUGAGAGAAGGGUCUCGCCUCCACAGCACCGACUCUCCUGGGCGUGAUGACGUCGUCGUUGGUGGGCGACACGAGGGCGCCUAAGAAGGCCUCGACGUCCUCGCGACGCAUUGAACCCAUAGCUAGGGACUUGGAGUCGUCCUUGUCGUGCACUGUGACAAACAUGGGCGAGUCGGCUGAUGAGCGCGGACGUCUUCGGCAGGCAGGGCUGCUCGAAGCCGACGACGACAACGACAUCUGCUGAUUGAAAGAGGUACAAGUGAAAAGUAUAGCGAGUAUAGUGGACGCAGGUAAUGUGUUUGUAUUAAAAUGCCACUGCGGACUAAAAGAACAUUA
Ornithodoros turicata is the source of this 1841-nucleotide long non-coding RNA. RefSeq lists it as uncharacterized. Lineage: Eukaryota; Metazoa; Arthropoda; Arachnida; Ixodida; Argasidae. The transcript is spliced from 4 exons. The record is from RefSeq and is a predicted model, not a curated record.